Molecule: long non-coding RNA, 357 nt
Organism: Saccostrea cuccullata (small rock oyster)
Lineage: Eukaryota; Metazoa; Mollusca; Bivalvia; Ostreida; Ostreidae
Exons: 3
Source: RefSeq, a predicted model, not a curated record
GGUACUUGUUAUCCAGAGAUCAACAAGAAGAUUGAAAAAAUUGUUAACAAGAAGAAAUGUUUUCCAGACUAUCAUGAUGUCAAGGAGAUCAUCAUCAGUGUCAAUAGAAGCAAGUCACUCCACAUGACGACAUCAGCCAUAGACCACUGGUCGAAAGUUGUAUUUGAGGAGGUAGGGCGCAAUCUCCAGGAGAGGAGAGGGCAGGAUUUCAUUUCCUCCUUGCUGUGGCACCUCCCUUCAGGGCACAGCAAGAAAGUUAGGAGCAGUUUUUGCAGUCAUAAAUUGUGAAUCUCAAGAUGGAGCCCUGGACAGUAGCAUUAUCAGUGAAGAAAGCAGAGAAUCAAGUCUACCUUCAUU